AUGCUUUCUUCAGGGGGCACUACCAAUAUGAUGUCUUGGGUGUCCGAGGAGCUACUUGGUAACAUUGGCAUGCCUCAAGGUCCGGCUUCAACCACCUUGUUGGAUGAGUUCCUAAGUAGUUUCAGUUGCACAGCGCCGCGGUCCUUGCUUGAAGCACCGAUUCAUGUGCAGAUUGAAGGGGCAUCUACUUGUCCCGAGAGGCGUAGUGGACGUUUGGAUAAGAAGAACAAAAGUUGCAACAUCCCGACUGCCAAGCGUGCUGAAUAUAGGUUGGCGGAGGCUUUUGGAGAGCUACCGAAGGGAACGACAUCUAAGAAAGUCAACGAGGAGGAUGUGCAAGAGAAGAUGAAGACUUAUUUGCAGAUGUACAAGAAACCGCUCACGUCGACGGCGAUCCAGGCAAUUCGUGCCUUGGUGGAGGUUAAUGUGUGA
RNAcentral lists this ribosomal RNA (432 nucleotides) under Triticum aestivum (bread wheat). RNAcentral's name for it is "partial small subunit ribosomal RNA". The record is from RNAcentral. Lineage: Eukaryota; Viridiplantae; Streptophyta; Magnoliopsida; Poales; Poaceae.